RNAcentral lists this ribosomal RNA (811 nucleotides) under uncultured Pelagibacteraceae bacterium. RNAcentral's name for it is "bacterial SSU rRNA". It matches the Rfam family "Bacterial small subunit ribosomal RNA", at positions 33 to 892 of the family's 1533-position model. Lineage: Bacteria; Pseudomonadati; Pseudomonadota; Alphaproteobacteria; Candidatus Pelagibacterales; Candidatus Pelagibacteraceae. The record is from RNAcentral.
ACGCUGGCGGCACGCCUAACACAUGCAAGUCGAACGAAGUAGCAAUACUUAGUGGCAGACGGGUGAGUAACAUGUAGGUAUCUGCCCUUUGGCCUGGAAUAACACGAGGAAACUUGUGCUAAUACCGGAUAAGUCUUUACGGAGAAAGCUUUAUGCACCAUUGGAUGAGCCUGCACUUGAUUAGUUUGUUGGUGGGGUAAUGGCCUACCAAGACUGUGAUCAAUAGCUGAUUUGAGAGGAUGAUCAGCCACAUUGGGACUGAGACACGGCCCAAACUCCUACGGGAGGCAGCAGUGGGGAAUCUUGCACAAUGGAGGAAACUCUGAUGCAGCGAUGCCGCGUGAGUGAAGAAGGCCCUUGGGUUGUAAAGCUCUUUCGUCGGGGAAGAAAAUGACUGUACCCGAAUAAGAAGGUCCGGCUAACUUCGUGCCAGCAGCCGCGGUAAUACGAAGGGACCUAGCGUAGUUCGGAAUUACUGGGCUUAAAGAGUUCGUAGGUGGUUGAAAAAGUUAGUGGUGAAAUCCCAGAGCUUAACUCUGGAACUGCCAUUAAAACUUUUCAGCUAGAGUGUGAUAGAGGAAAGCAGAAUUUCUAGUGUAGAGGUGAAAUUCGUAGAUAUUAGAAAGAAUACCAAUUGCGAAGGCAGCUUUCUGGAUCAUUACUGACACUGAGGAACGAAAGCAUGGGUAGCGAAGAGGAUUAGAUACCCUCGUAGUCCAUGCCGUAAACGAUGUGUGUUAGACGUUGGAAAUUUAUUUUCAGUGUCGCAGCGAAAGCGAUAAACACACCGCCUGGGGAGUACGACCGCAAG